UACGUAGGGUGCAAGCGUUAAUCGGAAUUACUGGGCGUAAAGCGUGCGCAGGCGGUUCUAUAAGACAGAUGUGAAAUCCCCGGGCUCAACCUGGGAACUGCAUUUGUGACUGUAGAGCUGGAGUACGGCAGAGGGGGGAUGGAAUUCCGCGUGUAGCAGUGAAAUGCGUAGAUAUGCGGAGGAACACCGAUGGCGAAGGCAAUCCCCUGGGCCUGUACUGACGCUCAUGCACGAAAGCGUGGGGAGCAAACAGG
RNAcentral lists this ribosomal RNA (254 nucleotides) under uncultured bacterium. Its description in RNAcentral is "partial 16S ribosomal RNA". It matches the Rfam family "Bacterial small subunit ribosomal RNA", at positions 524 to 776 of the family's 1533-position model. The record is from RNAcentral.